GAUGAACGCUGGCGGCGUGCCUAAUACAUGCAAGUCGAGCGAACGGACGAGAAGCUUGCUUCUCUGAUGUUAGCGGCGGACGGGUGAGUAACACGUGGAUAACCUACCUAUAAGACUGGGAUAACUUCGGGAAACCGGAGCUAAUACCGGAUAAUAUUUUGAACCGCAUGGUUCAAAAGUGAAAGACGGUCUUGCUGUCACUUAUAGAUGGAUCCGGGCUGCAUUAGCUAGUUGGUAAGGUAACGGCUUACCAAGGCAACUAUGCAUAGCCGACCUGAGAGGGUGAUCGGCCACACUGGAACUGAGACGCGGUCCAGACUCCUACGGGAGGCAGCAGUAGGGAAUCUGCCGCAAUGGGCGAAAGCCUGACGGAGCAACGCCGCGUGAGUGAUGAAGGUCUUCGGAUCGUAAAACUCUGUUAUUAGGGAAGAACAUAUGUGUAAGUAACUGUGCACAUCUUGACGGUACCUAAUCAGAAAGCCACGGCUAACUACGUG
This 497-nucleotide ribosomal RNA is filed under the name uncultured bacterium. RNAcentral describes it as "partial 16S ribosomal RNA". It matches the Rfam family "Bacterial small subunit ribosomal RNA", at positions 28 to 507 of the family's 1533-position model. The record is from RNAcentral.